UUGCCUAAUUGGUAAGGCAGCGGUCUUGAAAACCGCCGGGUUAACGCCUAUGAGGGUUCGAGUCCCUU
RNAcentral lists this transfer RNA (68 nucleotides) under hydrothermal vent metagenome. RNAcentral describes it as "tRNA-Pseudo-TGA". It matches the Rfam family "tRNA", at positions 10 to 63 of the family's 71-position model. From Rfam's summary of the family: Transfer RNA (tRNA) molecules are approximately 80 nucleotides in length. Their secondary structure includes four short double-helical elements and three loops (D, anti-codon, and T loops). The record is from RNAcentral.